GGGGCUGAUUCUGGAUUCGACGGGAUUUGCGAAACCCAAGGUGCAUGCCGAGGGGCGGUUGGCCUCGUAAAAAGCCGCAAAAAAAUAGUCGCAAACGACGAAACCUACGCUUUAGCAGCUUAAUAACCUGCUUAGAGCCCUCUCUCCCUAGCCUCCGCUCUUAGGACGGGGAUCAAGAGAGGUCAAACCCAAAAGAGAUCGCGUGGAUGCCCUGCCUGGGGUUGAAGCGUUAAAACGAAUCAGGCUAGUCUGGUAGUGGCGUGUCCGUCCGCAGGUGCCAGGCGAAUGUAAAGACAGACUAAGCAUGUAGUACCGAGGAUGUAGGAAUUUCGGACGCGGGUUCAACUCCCGCCAGCUCCACCA
Molecule: transfer-messenger RNA, 363 nt
Filed under: Salmonella enterica
Lineage: Bacteria; Pseudomonadati; Pseudomonadota; Gammaproteobacteria; Enterobacterales; Enterobacteriaceae
Also listed under: 2 other names
Rfam family: transfer-messenger RNA
About the family: Bacterial tmRNA, also known as 10Sa RNA or SsrA, is named for its dual tRNA and mRNA-like properties. Its role is to liberate the mRNA from a stalled ribosome.
Source: RNAcentral